Odontomachus brunneus is the source of this 847-nucleotide long non-coding RNA. RefSeq lists it as uncharacterized. NCBI's taxonomy places the organism in Eukaryota, Metazoa, Arthropoda, Insecta, Hymenoptera, Formicidae. The record is from RefSeq and is a predicted model, not a curated record. The transcript has 3 exons.
UGAUAUUGCAACUAUGGACUGUUAUUGUCGACGAGUAUUUCUCCACCGGCGACUACCGACGGCGGAAUUAAGUCGCGCGUACGUAACAGCGGCCGUAAAGUCAAAGUGUUAACGCUAUACGACUCUUAGUGAACGGAUACUAGUCACGAACUAGUAUCCGGAAUGCCAUGACGGAGCAAACAGGUGCAGGUCCAAGAAUGAGGAAGUCACUACGGGAGACGCGGGACGAUGAGUCACGGACAACGAUGCAUUAAAUAUUUCCAGCAUUGAAGUAGGACAAUGGCCUGCCCAGAUAGUACCGAGAUAGACAGGUGUACGAGUAUUUGCCAGCAAUUUUAUUAGUCAACUUGUAAAGGUUGCGUCACUUACGAAUGGUUCAUAGAACGCUCAUGUUUACUACAUAAAAUUACAAAAUAGAAAUAUAAGAAAGAAUAAUCGAAAUUUGCUGCAUACAAUAUCAUGCAAAAUAUAAUAUAGAACUCUGGAUGUAACUUUUAACAAAUUGGUUGUUGCAUCAACGCAACAAAAAUUUUUAUAAAUUUAAGAUGUAAGUUUCAUAAUUAAUUCGAUACAUUUAUCUCUCAUAAAUGUAAUUAAAAGAAUUAUACGGGCCAUUUAACAAUUACGUCGCGUGAAAUUUGAAUAUUUUUAUCUCUGCCUUUUGUCACAAUUUUCACCACAAAGUUUCGGCUUCGCUCCAAUAUUACAUGGCAUAUAAUAUUAUUCUUGCACUCACAUAAAAUAAAAACAAAUAGUUUAAUAUUGUGAGUAAUAAUUGUUAUUACUAAAUCGUCUUUUACUAAAAUACAAAUAAUUUUUAGACAUAUCAAAUUAUUUAUUUUAUAAU